GCCCGUAGCUCAGCUUGGAUAGAGCAGCAGCCUUCUAAGCUGACGGUCGCGGGUUCAAACCAUAUCCUGGCA
Molecule: transfer RNA, 72 nt
Filed under: mine drainage metagenome
Description: tRNA-Arg
Source: RNAcentral